This 218-nucleotide non-coding RNA is filed under the name Propionivibrio sp. Lineage: Bacteria; Pseudomonadati; Pseudomonadota; Betaproteobacteria; Rhodocyclales; Rhodocyclaceae. The record is from RNAcentral.
GCGAAAUAUAGCGUGCAAGGUGCCGCAACGCAGGGUUUUCCAAAUUCUCUGCAGCGGUUAAACGGGAAACAGGUGCGUGUCUGCAAGACAUCAUGCCUGUGCUGCCCCCGCAACGGUAAGCGAGUGAGGUUGUGUCGAUAGGCCACUGGGCAAGCGCCUGGGAAGGCGACACAUCAAGACUCGUGAGCCCGGAUACCGGCCUUCGCGCAAACAGACGG